Molecule: ribosomal RNA, 253 nt
Filed under: uncultured bacterium
Lineage: Bacteria
Description: partial 16S ribosomal RNA
Rfam family: Bacterial small subunit ribosomal RNA
Source: RNAcentral
UACGGGGGGGGCAAGCGUUGUUCGGAAUUACUGGGCGUAAAGGGCUCGUAGGCGGCCAACUAAGUCAGACGUGAAAUCCCCAGGCUCAACCUGGGAACUGCGUCUGAUACUGGAUGGCUUGAAUCCGGGAGAGGGAUGCAGAAUUCCAGGUGUAGCGGUGAAAUGCGUAGAUAUCUGGAGGAAUACCGGUGGCGAAGGCGUCAUCCUGGACCGGCAUUGACGCUGAGGAGCGAAAGCCAGGGGAGCAAACAGG